UCCCUCAUGGCGCAAUUGGCUAGCGCGUCUGACUGUUACUAAGCAACUGCUUGGGUAAUGACAUUUAUCAGGAGGUUGACAGUUCGAGCCUGUCUGAGGGAG
Molecule: transfer RNA, 102 nt
Rfam family: tRNA
About the family: Transfer RNA (tRNA) molecules are approximately 80 nucleotides in length. Their secondary structure includes four short double-helical elements and three loops (D, anti-codon, and T loops). Further hydrogen bonds mediate the characteristic L-shaped molecular structure. tRNAs have two regions of fundamental functional importance: the anti-codon, which is responsible for specific mRNA codon recognition, and the 3' end, to which the tRNAs corresponding amino acid is attached (by aminoacyl-tRNA synthetases). tRNAs cope with the degeneracy of the genetic code in two manners: having more than one tRNA (with a specific anti-codon) for a particular amino acid; and 'wobble' base-pairing, i.e. permitting non-standard base-pairing at the 3rd anti-codon position.
Source: Rfam